UAACACUGUUAGGUUGAUGCAAAAGUAAUCAUGGUUUUUGCCAUUACUAUUUCAAAGGCAAAAACCGUGAUUACUUUUGCACCAAC
This is a microRNA precursor of Gorilla gorilla gorilla (western lowland gorilla), 86 nucleotides long. The record is from Ensembl. Lineage: Eukaryota; Metazoa; Chordata; Mammalia; Primates; Hominidae.